Molecule: long non-coding RNA, 548 nt
Filed under: Homo sapiens (human)
Lineage: Eukaryota; Metazoa; Chordata; Mammalia; Primates; Hominidae
Description: HSALNT0040226
Source: RNAcentral
CCAUGACCCAAACACCACCCACCAGGUCUCACCUCCAACAUUGGGGAUUACAUUCCAACAUGAAAUUUGAAUGAGACAAACAUCCAAACUAUAUUACUGUAUAUUUUGUACCUCUACCUAGACAUUUCAACAGUAAGAAACUAAAUCACUGCCUUGUACAAUAAAAAGCUCUAUGUUGGGGUGAUCAGACCCAACACCAGGUCAUGGGGGCGAUGAGUCCGGUGGAGUCAAAGGAAUGAGAAAAAGACAGUUUGAGAGAGAAAGUGGGACCGGGGAGCCUACGCUAUUUAUUGGUGAUCAAACAAAGAAACAGGUGGUGAGGAUGUGGGGAUUGAAAGAAACUGGUGUAUCAAGUGAAUGAGAAACCUAUGGCUACUUGAGAUAAUGGGAGUGCUAGAAGCAAGGAGCUAGCAAGUCUAGCCGACAUGCAAGCCCUGCCUCAGCUUCUCUCCCAACACUCAGCUUUUCUCCCAACAGAUAUAUUUGAAACUUAACUUCAGAUAUACAUAUAGUAAAAUUGAAAACUUAUUAAAAUAACUUAUGAUUCA